This 383-nucleotide unclassified non-coding RNA is filed under the name soil metagenome. Its description in RNAcentral is "partial contains 5.8S ribosomal RNA, internal transcribed spacer 2, and large subunit ribosomal RNA". The stretch from base 1 to 120 matches the Rfam family "5.8S ribosomal RNA", at positions 35 to 154 of the family's 154-position model. The record is from RNAcentral.
GAUGAAGAACGUAGCGAAAUGCGAUAAGUAAUGUGAAUUGCAGAAUUCAGUGAAUCAUCGAAUCUUUGAACGCACCUUGCGCUCCUUGGUAUUCCGAGGAGCAUGCCUGUUUGAGUGUCAUUAAAUUCUCAACCUUUCUGGCUUUUGCUAGUCAGGCUUGGAUUAUGGGAGCUGCUGGCUUUUGAAGUCGGCUCUUCUAAAAUGUAUUAGCAAGAUCAUUGCUGCUCAUCAUUGGUAUGAUAAUUAUCUAUAUCAUUGAGAGUCAGUUUCCUUUAUUGGAAGAUUUUGCUCCUAACGGUCUUUAGCAAGACAACAUUUGACGAUUUUGACCUCAAAUCAGGUAGGACUACCCGCUGAACUUAAGCAUAUCAAUAAGCGGAGGA